RNAcentral lists this ribosomal RNA (610 nucleotides) under Limnobacter sp. RNAcentral's name for it is "bacterial SSU rRNA". It matches the Rfam family "Bacterial small subunit ribosomal RNA", at positions 39 to 644 of the family's 1533-position model. The record is from RNAcentral. Lineage: Bacteria; Pseudomonadati; Pseudomonadota; Betaproteobacteria; Burkholderiales; Burkholderiaceae.
GCGGGCGCUGCUUAACAUGCAAGUCGAACGGUAACAGGGAGCUUGCUCCGCUGACGAGUGGCGAACGGGUGAGUAAUACAUCGGAACGUGCCCAGUAAUGGGGGAUAGCUCGGCGAAAGCCGGAUUAAUACCGCAUACGCCCUGAGGGGGAAAGUGGGGGACCGCAAGGCCUCACGUUAUUGGAGCGGCCGAUGGCUGAUUAGCUAGUUGGUAGGGUAAAGGCCUACCAAGGCGACGAUCAGUAGCUGGUCUGAGAGGACGAUCAGCCACACUGGGACUGAGACACGGCCCAGACUCCUACGGGAGGCAGCAGUGGGGAAUUUUGGACAAUGGGGGAAACCCUGAUCCAGCAAUGCCGCGUGUGCGAAGAAGGCCUUCGGGUUGUAAAGCACUUUUGUCAGGGAAGAAAUCCUUUGGGCUAAUACCCUAGGGGGAUGACGGUACCUGAAGAAUAAGCACCGGCUAACUACGUGCCAGCAGCCGCGGUAAUACGUAGGGUGCAAGCGUUAAUCGGAAUUACUGGGCGUAAAGCGUGCGCAGGCGGUUGUGUAAGACAGGUGUGAAAUCCCCGGGCUUAACCUGGGAAUUGCAUUUGUGACUGCACGACUAG